Long non-coding RNA from Saccostrea cuccullata (small rock oyster), 373 nucleotides. RefSeq lists it as uncharacterized. The transcript has 3 exons. Lineage: Eukaryota; Metazoa; Mollusca; Bivalvia; Ostreida; Ostreidae. The record is from RefSeq and is a predicted model, not a curated record.
UAUGCAUGUACGAUAAUAAAACAUUUGAGGGAUGUUCGUUCCAUGAUUGUAAUACCAAACGCAAUAGUGUGGUUUUGUGCGUGCAGAUGAACCAAGAUAAAGCUGGGAAAACAUCAUCGCUUAUAACUGAUAUUUUUCAACCAACCACCUCUGUCUUUAGUCCUAAAACCCACAAAACAUCCAUGAAUUCAACGGUAUCGUCAAGAAUUGUAGCAACAGAUCUAGAAGCAGCAACAUUGACAAUCACAAGAACAACAGAAAAAAUACAUGUCGGAAAAGAAAAAACAAAUAGGAAUGGAAAAAUGGUAAUUGUAUCCAUCGUCGUUGCUGUUGUUGCUGGAGGUGUUUCCUUUGCUCUGCUUUUGUCUUACUU